Molecule: RNA transcript, 1003 nt
Organism: Papaver somniferum (opium poppy)
Lineage: Eukaryota; Viridiplantae; Streptophyta; Magnoliopsida; Ranunculales; Papaveraceae
Exons: 4
Source: RefSeq, a predicted model, not a curated record
UAAAGAGUUUCCAGAGACUCCAGACCGUAGAAGACGGGACUACAGAAGUCUGAAACUCUUUUCUUUAUAAUAGUAACAAAAAGGUUGCAAUGCGCUUUAAAUCUUUAAUAACUCGGCUGCUGCUGCAUAUAUCAGUAGAUCAAGAGAAAUCCAGUAAAUAUAGAGAUAUAAAUAUGAGAGGUGUUGGAGGACCAUUACUAUGCAUUGGAGAUCUACUGAGUGAUGUAAGUGAAGCUUCGGAAAUUGGGGAUCACAAUGAAACCUCUUCUUCUUCCUUAUCAUCCACGCCCUCACUUCCUACAGAUUCUCUUCUCCCCCCCAUCAAAACUACCCCAAUUGUUUCAGGAAAACUAUAGCCAGUUGAGUCAAGCAUUGGAUGGGACUGACCACUCAUGGACAGCUUUGACUCUUAAGUUAUGUUCUGCGUUGGAGACUGCUGAUAAGUUGGUGCAAUCAAACAACUCUAAUGUCAGAUUCCUGUCGGCGAAAGUUGAAGUUCUUGAGAGUAUUGUGAAGAGAGGAGAUUCUGCUGCGAAGUCAGCUAAAUUCAUACAUGAUAAACAUAGCAGUGAAAGUUCUUCGGUUGGGAAUUAGAUACAAGUAUGAUUUUGGUCUUAUGAAAUGAUGAUUAUACGAAAUGAUGAAUAUCCUACCUUAUUUGAAGCACAAUUUGUGGCGUGUGGUUCAUUCUUUGUGCCGAUAAAAGACAAACACUGAAGAAUGAUCUGCAAAUGCGGGAUAGCUUUAAGUGGUAUCUAGUAUACAAUCCAGCAGGUCUAGAAGACCAAUUGUGAACAACAUAUAAACUGAGAAGUUAAUUCAAAAUCCUCGACCGUAUCAAACUUUACUGACCCAAACGCAAAAUAGCUCUUUUACUAGUGAUGGUACAAAGAAUAACUACUGUUGUUUAUUGAUCAGAAAUUAUGUUGUACACUACCAGUCUAGUGGUAUAACCGAAUCUGCAGCAUCCAAAGAGAUAAUACUAUGAGUAUGAAUUCUUGUU